Molecule: unclassified non-coding RNA, 326 nt
Filed under: Ascomycota sp.
Lineage: Eukaryota; Fungi; Ascomycota
Description: partial contains small subunit ribosomal RNA, internal transcribed spacer 1, and 5.8S ribosomal RNA
Rfam family: Eukaryotic small subunit ribosomal RNA (bases 1-47)
Source: RNAcentral
AAAGUCGUAACAAGGUUUCCGUAGGUGAACCUGCGGAAGGAUCAUUACAAGAUGAGGGGCUCCGGCCUCAAAUCCCGCCCUUGUGUCAUUGUCAGGAGUCUGCGCGGCCCGUGAGAACGGGACGCAGCGUGACUUCCACAUCACUUCGGUCGAUGUGUGUUUGGUCUCUUGGAGGCGGGGAGCAUUAUGCUCUUGGCCGAAGAGGACCGGACCGCGGCCGGCAGGUGCAUUCGUGCGCUUGACCACACAUCCUUUUGAGAACUUUUGAAGUCUGAUCAAACAUAUAAUGUAAAGCAAAACUUUCAACAACGGAUCUCUUGGCUCUG